This 605-nucleotide ribosomal RNA is filed under the name Bacillus sp. TBS2-5_Pa. RNAcentral describes it as "bacterial SSU rRNA". It matches the Rfam family "Bacterial small subunit ribosomal RNA", at positions 61 to 649 of the family's 1533-position model. The record is from RNAcentral. Lineage: Bacteria; Bacillati; Bacillota; Bacilli; Caryophanales; Bacillaceae.
GUCGAGCGAAUCUUUGGGAGCUUGCUCCCAUUGGUUAGCGGCGGACGGGUGAGUAACACGUGGGCAACCUGCCUGUAAGACUGGGAUAACUUCGGGAAACCGGAGCUAAUACCGGAUAAUUCAUUUCCUCUCAUGAGGAAAUGCUGAAAGACGGUUUCGGCUGUCACUUACAGAUGGGCCCGCGGCGCAUUAGCUAGUUGGUGAGGUAACGGCUCACCAAGGCAACGAUGCGUAGCCGACCUGAGAGGGUGAUCGGCCACACUGGGACUGAGACACGGCCCAGACUCCUACGGGAGGCAGCAGUAGGGAAUCUUCCACAAUGGACGAAAGUCUGAUGGAGCAACGCCGCGUGAGCGAUGAAGGCCUUCGGGUCGUAAAGCUCUGUUGUUAGGGAAGAACAAGUACCGGAGUAACUGCCGGUACCUUGACGGUACCUAACCAGAAAGCCACGGCUAACUACGUGCCAGCAGCCGCGGUAAUACGUAGGUGGCAAGCGUUGUCCGGAAUUAUUGGGCGUAAAGCGCGCGCAGGCGGUCCUUUAAGUCUGAUGUGAAAGCCCACGGCUCAACCGUGGAGGGUCAUUGGAAACUGGGGGACUUGAGUGC